Molecule: ribosomal RNA, 497 nt
Filed under: uncultured bacterium
Lineage: Bacteria
Description: partial 16S ribosomal RNA
Rfam family: Bacterial small subunit ribosomal RNA
Source: RNAcentral
GAUGAACGCUGGCGGCGUGCCUAAUACAUGCAAGUCGAGCGAACGGACGCGAAGCUUGCUUUUCUGAUGUUAGCGGCGGACGGGUGAGUAACACGUGGAUAACCUACCUAUAAGACUGGUAUAACUUCGGGAAACCGGAUCUAAUACCGGAUAAUAUUUUGAACCGCAUGGUUCAAAAGUGAAAGACGGUCUUGCUGUCACUUAUAGAUGGAUCCGCGCUGCAUUAGCUAGUUGGGAAGGUAACGGCUUACCAAGGCAACGAUGCAUAGCCGACCUGAGAGGGUGAUCGGCCACACUGGAACUGAGACACGGUCCAGACUCCUACGGGAGGCAGCAGUAGGGAAUCUUCCGCAAUGGGCGAAAGCCUGACGGAGCAACGCCGCGUGAGUGAUGAAGGUCUUCGGAUCGUAAAACUCUGUUAUUAGGGAAGAACAUAUGUGUAAGUAACUGUGCACAUCUUGACGGUACCUAAUCAGAAAGCAACGGCUAACUACGUG